GACGAACGCUGGCGGCGUGCUUAACACAUGCAAGUCGAACGGAAAGGCCCAGCUUGCUGGGUGCUCGAGUGGCGAACGGGUGAGUAACACGUGGGUGAUCUGCCUCUAACUUCGGGAUAAGCUUGGGAAACUGGGUCUAAUACCGGAUAGGACAAUCGUUUAGUGUCGUUUUUGGAAAGUUUUUUCGGUUAGGGAUGAGCCCGCUGCCUAUCAGCUUGUUGGUGGGGUAAUGGCCUACCAAGGCGUCGACGGGUAGCCGGCCUGAGAGGGUGGACGGCCACAUUGGGACUGAGAUACGGCCCAGACUCCUACGGGAGGCAGCAGGGGGGAAUAUUGCACAAUGGGCGCAAGCCUGAUGCAGCGACGCCGCGUGGGGGAUGACGGCCUUCGGGUUGUAAACCUCUUUCGACAGGGACGAAGCUUUGGUGACGGUACCUGUAUAAGAAGCACCGGCUAACUACGUG
Molecule: ribosomal RNA, 464 nt
Filed under: uncultured bacterium
Lineage: Bacteria
Description: partial 16S ribosomal RNA
Rfam family: Bacterial small subunit ribosomal RNA
Source: RNAcentral